Molecule: ribosomal RNA, 679 nt
Filed under: Orostachys thyrsiflora
Lineage: Eukaryota; Viridiplantae; Streptophyta; Magnoliopsida; Saxifragales; Crassulaceae
Description: eukaryotic LSU rRNA
Rfam family: 5.8S ribosomal RNA (bases 262-417)
Source: RNAcentral
UCCGUAGGUGAACCUGCGGAAGGAUCAUUGUCGAAUCCUAGGAAAGCAUGACCGUGGACAAGUUGUUAAACAGUGGGACGUGUCGUGCUGCCUACGGGCGGCUCGACGCCUCCACCCGGCGGGCCAGGGGGACGUGCGCCCCCAGCCUUCCGGAUCGAACGAACUCCGGCGCGGACAGCGCUAAGGAAGCAAAAAUCGGACGAGUUGUCCCCGCGGCCCUUCCUUGGGCUGCGCGGGGCGAAGGUCAAUCAAUACAAUAACGACUCUCGGCAACGGAUAUCUCGGCUCUCGCAUCGAUGAAGAACGUAGCGAAAUGCGAUACUUGGUGUGAAUUGCAGAAUCCCGUGAACCAUCGAGUCUUUGAACGCAAGUUGCGCCCGAGGCCAUUAGGCCGAGGGCACGUCUGCCUGGGCGUCACGUAUCGUGUUGCCCCCACCCGUCCGUGCGUGGGGAGCGAAGCUUGGCCUCCCGUGAGUUCCUAACUCCCGGAUGGCUUAAAAGUGAGCCUCGAGGCGGUGAUGUCGUCGCGACAAGUGGUGGUCAAGAGGCCUUUGAGCCUCGGAACUUUGCGGGUCGCGCGAAUGCCGUUCCUCCUCGUGCCCGAAAGUAACUCGAACGGAGCGUUGCGGCGCUGCCAGUGUUGGGACCCCAGGUCAGGCGGGACUACCCGCUGAGUUAA